GGUAGCACAAUAACUCGCCUCUUAAUUAGAGGCCGGAAUCAACGAACGCACGUGAGCCCCCCUGUCUCUAUAAAACCAAAGAAACUUAACCUCUAGGUGAAAAGGCCUAGAUACAACUAAAAGACAAGAAGACCCUAUCGAGCUUCAUUAUCCCUUGAUAAAACAAGUCAUUUAUACUCACCUUUUUAUAUCAGGAAAUAAUUCAGUUGGGGCAACUAAGGAACACCAAAAACUUCCUUUUUUUAUUUUAUAGUCAUUUGACCCAGAACCUCUGAACAAAAGACCAAGCUACCGUAGGGAUAACAGGUUAAUUUUUCUCGAGAGCCCACAUUGACAGAAAAGUUUGACACCUCUUAUUUUGGCUUAGGUUACCCCGUUAGUGCAGCCGCUAACAAAGGUGGGUUUGUUCAACCCGUAACAACCUACGUGAUCUGAGUUCAGACCGGA
Molecule: ribosomal RNA, 447 nt
Filed under: Archinome jasoni
Lineage: Eukaryota; Metazoa; Annelida; Polychaeta; Eunicida; Archinomidae
Description: partial 16S ribosomal RNA
Rfam family: Archaeal large subunit ribosomal RNA
Source: RNAcentral